AUUCUUCAAAUACCUUAGGAAGUUUAACACUUUAGAAACCAACUCAUGAUUCAUGGGGGUGGUGCGAAGGUGACCUUAUUCUCAUGGUGGGAAACACUGAUUUCUGAUUUAGGUUUUGCUAGGGAUUGAGUCCGAAUCAUGGAUGACCUUUACUCAAAAGAUGACAAAUAAUAGCAGAUAUGCAUUCCUAACUUUCGUACAAACUUUGAUGAUAGGUUGUAAUAGUUUUCCUUGGCUAGAUGAUAAUUAAUUUAGCUUGAUGAAAAACUAGCUGGUUGGACAAGUCGAGUGAUGCUGGGGCAGUUAUGACUUUUCACCUUCGAAAGUUUAUAAAAAGGCGUGAAACCAUCUGAAUUUAGUUUAGUCUCGCCCGAAAACAGUUUCAAAGCUCUCUGAACCAUUGCUUAUCACAUACUAUGGAUGGAGAUGACUUCCUUCCUUUUGCUCCCAACUCUCCAAUUAGUUUUGAUGAGCACAAUACUGGAUAGAGACAGCUCCUCGGUGACAAUAUUGAAGAGGCUCUUGUCUUUGCCAUUAUAGAAGACUUGGACAUGGAGCUUGCGUAUGCCAUGGUACACGGUAGAAGCUAUAGUAGGGGCCGGGGUAAAACUUAGAGCCAUGGUAAGGGCCGUGGACAAACGGUAGGCUAUGGACGUGUUUAUGGCCGUUGGUACAGGCCAAGCCAAGGCUCCAGUGAAGGCCGAAGCCAUUAGACGUAGACGCGGACGAGGACCCUUACCUCCAAGGCCCCUACCUCUACACUUUCCAAACCUUCCUGAUAACGUUACUCUUUUGAUACUCAAAACUGCUAUGGCUUUACUCAUACUUUCUCGAUAUUUCUCCUAUUCUUGUGGAGGAGAUUGAGUGGGCAGUACCCCGAUCAUUGUACUUUGAUGGCUCACUUUGUCCUCGUCACUGCCAUACCUGCGGCUUUACCUACUACAACCGGUUCUUCAACACUAUUAUUGCCAAAUGGGUAACUGGAACUCAAACUGAUCUUUGUUCCUUCUAUAUUUCUUUAUCCACAUAGUUCAGUAUUCUCUGUUUACAGAUUGAUUGGCAUCCAUGGAUGACCAUGCCUCAUGCUAUGAGAGAGAUACACGGUGUCUUGGGCGACUUCCUGGAUGAGGAUCCUUCUGGAGGACCCCUUCUGCAGAUUGUGGUAUUUAGGAGAGCAUUUCUCGCACCAGAGAUAGGGCUAGCCUGCUCCAAAUGUACUUUUUCACUGCCUUCUUGCGGACUCACAUCAUGUCUCCUCUCACCGAGGGCACUGCUCGUGUCCUUGGAGCUGGCAUUGCUACUACUGCUGUUGCCUCUACCAUCCUCUCGAGCUUCUUGAGACGCGCGUGCUUACAUUGCCCUGGAUGUGGAGCAGAUAUAUACAUCUCUUGUAAUUUUGUCAGUCAUUUCUCAUUGCUUUAUUCUAUUACUGAUGUUCUCAUUCUACUUGCAGACCCUAAUAACCAGAGCCUCUGGCUGAUCGAGACAUUGGUUCAUAUGGUACAGAGGAGACAGUACGCUCUUGCCUCUGUCGGGAUUCAGGUGUCCCACUUUUCAAUCUGAUCUUUACUUUCCAUGCUGUUUGUCUAUUCUAAUUUACUCUGAUUGAUUGUUUUCAACUCAGUACUAGCCACUCUGAUAUUCUAUAGCCAAUUUAUAAUAUUAUGGCCAAUUUUGUU
Molecule: non-coding RNA, 1679 nt
Organism: Camellia sinensis
Lineage: Eukaryota; Viridiplantae; Streptophyta; Magnoliopsida; Ericales; Theaceae
Source: RefSeq, a predicted model, not a curated record